This 777-nucleotide ribosomal RNA is filed under the name uncultured Neocallimastigales. RNAcentral's name for it is "partial large subunit ribosomal RNA". It matches the Rfam family "Eukaryotic large subunit ribosomal RNA", at positions 19 to 646 of the family's 3401-position model. Lineage: Eukaryota; Fungi; Neocallimastigomycota; Neocallimastigomycetes; Neocallimastigales. The record is from RNAcentral.
CGAGCACGCGCGUGUGGCAUAUCAAUAAGCGGAGGAAAAGAAACUAACAAGGAUUCCCCUAGUAACGGCGAGUGAAGCGGGAAGAGCUCAAAUUUGAAAUCUUCAAGGGUUUCCCUUGACGAAUCGUAGUUUAAAGAAGUGUUUUCUGUUAGAGAGGUGGUAAAAGUUCUUUGGAAUAGGACAUCAUAGAGGGUGAGAAUCCCGUAUUUGAUCACUUUCUACUAACGUUGUGAUACACUUUCAAAGAGUCGGAUUGUUUGGGAAUGCAGUCCAAAAUGGGUGGUAAAUUUCAUCUAAAGCUAAAUAUUGGCGAGAGACCGAUAGCGAACAAGUACCGUGAGGGAAAGAUGAAAAGAACUUUGAAAAGAGAGUUAAACAGUACGUGAAAUUGUCAAAAGGGAAGCGUUUGACACCAGUGUUGUUUUUCCGAAAAUCAAUUACGAAUGUUUUGUUUUUGAGGAGUUAUGACUUCAUCGGCUUGCUCCUUUCUUUAUGAAACUUUCUUAAUGCACUUUUCGGUUAACAAGUCAACAUCAAUUUCUUUUGUUGUAAGAGGUAAUGAGGAAGGUGGCUUUACUUUCGGAGUAAAGUGUUUAUAGCCUUUUACCUCUAGCAAUCGGAGAGAUUGAGGUCUGCAGCGUAGAUCCUUCGGGGUUAGAUACAUUUGUGCUAAGUUAUAGCUUUUCAUAGACAACUUGUUGACUAUGUUUAGUCUUGUAGCUUACUCGCUGAUGCUAUUUUACCUACGCUUAGGAUGUUGAUGUGAUACUGCGAGCA